GAUGAACGCUGGCGGCGUGCUUAACACAUGCAAGUCGAACGGAAAGGCCCAAGCUUGCUUGGGUACUCGAGUGGCGAACGGGUGAGUAACACGUGGGUGAUUUGCCCUGCACUUCGGGAUAAGCCUGGGAAACUGGGUCUAAUACCGGAUAGGACGAUGGUUUGGAUGCCAUUGUGGAAAGUUUUUUCGGUGUGGGAUGAGCUCGCGGCCUAUCAGCUUGUUGGUGGGGUAAUGGCCUACCAAGGCGUCGACGGGUAGCCGGCCUGAGAGGGUGUACGGCCACAUUGGGACUGAGAUACGGCCCAGACUCCUACGGGAGGCAGCAGUGGGGAAUAUUGCACAAUGGGCGCAAGCCUGAGGCAGCGACGCCGCGUGGGGGAUGACGGCCUUCGGGUUGUAAACUCCUUUCGCUAGGGACGAAGCGUUUUUGUGACGGUACCUGGAGAAGAAGCACCGGCUAACUACGUG
This 468-nucleotide ribosomal RNA is filed under the name uncultured bacterium. RNAcentral's name for it is "partial 16S ribosomal RNA". It matches the Rfam family "Bacterial small subunit ribosomal RNA", at positions 28 to 507 of the family's 1533-position model. The record is from RNAcentral.